RNAcentral lists this ribosomal RNA (87 nucleotides) under Chlamydiales bacterium. Its description in RNAcentral is "partial 16S ribosomal RNA". It matches the Rfam family "Bacterial small subunit ribosomal RNA", at positions 1 to 96 of the family's 1533-position model. Lineage: Bacteria; Pseudomonadati; Chlamydiota; Chlamydiia; Chlamydiales. The record is from RNAcentral.
UUUUUCGAGAAUUUGAUCUUGGUUCAGAUUGAAUGCUGACGGCGUGGAUGAGGCAUGCGAGUCGAACGAACUAGUUUACUAGUUAGU